This 779-nucleotide non-coding RNA is filed under the name Phyllosphingia dissimilis. Lineage: Eukaryota; Metazoa; Arthropoda; Insecta; Lepidoptera; Sphingidae. The record is from RNAcentral.
AAAUAAAUUUAUUAUGGUUUAAAAAAUUUAUUUUAAAUUUAUUUUACAUAUAAAUUUUAGUGUUAAUUAUUAAUUAUUUAAAUAAUAUUUAAUAUUUAUGUAGUAAUUUAUUUUAAAAAUUUAAGGAAUUAAGAUUUAGUAAUAUUAAAAUUAAUAACUAAUUUUGUGCCAGCAGUUGCGGUUAAACAAAAAUUAAUUUAAAUUUUUUUAGUAAUUAAUUAAUAAAAAUUUAUUUUUUAAUUAAAAAUUUAAAUUAUAAGGUGAAAUUUUAAUUUAAUAAAAAAUUAUUUUAUAAUUAUGAUUUAAUAAUUUUUAUAAAAGACUAGGAUUAGAUACCCUAUUAUUAAAAAUUUAAAUUAAUAAUACUUAAAUAGUAGAUAAUUAUUUAUUGAAACUUAAAUAAAUUGGCGGUAUUUUAGUUUAUUUAGAGGAAUCUGUUUAAUAAUUGAUAAUCCACGAAUAAAUUUACUUAAUUUAUUUAUUUUGUAUAUCGUUGUUAAAAAAAUAUUUUUUUAUAAAAAUAAUAUUUAAAAUUUUAUAAUAAAAGUUAAAUCAGAUCAAGAUGCAGAUUAUAAUUAAGAAUAUAAUGGAUUACAAUAAAUUUAUUUAAUUGGAUUUUAAUAUGAAAAGAUUAAAUAAAAUUGGAUUUAAAUGUAAUUAUGUUUAAAUUAAUAUAAUGAUUAAAUAUUAAAAUAUGUACAUAUUGCCCGUCGCUUUCAUUUAUAAAUUGAAAUAAGUCGUAACAAAGUAGAGGUACUGGAAAGUGUUUCUAGAAAGAU